Molecule: ribosomal RNA, 459 nt
Filed under: uncultured bacterium
Lineage: Bacteria
Description: partial 16S ribosomal RNA
Rfam family: Bacterial small subunit ribosomal RNA
Source: RNAcentral
CCUACGGGAGGCAGCAGUGAGGGAUAUUGGUCAAUGGUCGGGAGACUGAACCAGCCAAGCCGCGUGAGGGAUGAAGGUACAGAGUAUCGUAAACCUCUUUUGUCAGGGAACAAAGGCGGGGACGCGUCCCCGGAUGAGCGUACCUGAAGAAAAAGCAUCGGCUAACUCCGUGCCAGCAGCCGCGGUAAUACGGAGGAUGCGAGCGUUAUCCGGAUUGAUUGGGUUUAAAGGGUGCGCAGGCGGUCUGUUAAGUCAGCGGUCAAAGCCCGGGGCUCAACCCCGGCCCGCCGUUGAAACUGGCAGUCUCGAGUUGGAGAGAGGUAUGCGGAAUGCGCGGUGUAGCGGUGAAAUGCAUAGAUAUCGCGCAGAACUCCGAGUGCGAAGGCAGCAUGCCGGCUCCACACUGACGCUGAGGCACGAAAGCGUGGGUAUCGAACAGGAUUAGAUACCCCUGUAGUC